RNAcentral lists this transfer RNA (74 nucleotides) under Cyclobacterium lianum. It matches the Rfam family "tRNA". From Rfam's summary of the family: Transfer RNA (tRNA) molecules are approximately 80 nucleotides in length. Their secondary structure includes four short double-helical elements and three loops (D, anti-codon, and T loops). Lineage: Bacteria; Pseudomonadati; Bacteroidota; Cytophagia; Cytophagales; Cyclobacteriaceae. RNAcentral also lists the same sequence under 6 other names. The record is from Rfam by way of RNAcentral.
CGGGGUGUAGCGCAGUCCGGUAGCGUACUUGCAUGGGGUGCAAGGGGUCGUGGGUUCAAAUCCCGCCACCCCGA